This 384-nucleotide ribosomal RNA is filed under the name uncultured bacterium. Its description in RNAcentral is "bacterial SSU rRNA". It matches the Rfam family "Bacterial small subunit ribosomal RNA", at positions 338 to 715 of the family's 1533-position model. The record is from RNAcentral.
CCUACGGGAGGCAGCAGUGGGGAAUAUUGGACAAUGGGCGAAAGCCUGAUCCAGCAAUACCGCGUGUGUGAAGAAGGCCUGAGGGUUGUAAAGCACUUUCAAUGGGAAGGAAUACCUAUCGGUUAAUACCCGGUAGACUGACAUUACCCAUACAAGAAGCACCGGCUAACUCCGUGCCAGCAGCCGCGGUAAUACGGAGGGUGCAAGCGUUAAUCGGAAUUACUGGGCGUAAAGCGUGCGUAGGCGGUGAUUUAAGUCAGAUGUGAAAGCCCUGGGCUUAACCUGGGAACUGCAUUUGAUACUGGGUCACUAGAGUUGAGUAGAGGAGAGUGGAAUUUCAGGUGUAGCGGUGAAAUGCGUAGAGAUCGGAAGGAACACCAGUGG